Molecule: long non-coding RNA, 506 nt
Organism: Drosophila sulfurigaster albostrigata
Lineage: Eukaryota; Metazoa; Arthropoda; Insecta; Diptera; Drosophilidae
Exons: 3
Source: RefSeq, a predicted model, not a curated record
GGGACACAUUUGGCAGGCGCUGUCAGUCAAUUUCCAUUAAGUCAACACCUUAUUGAAUUUUAUUGUAAAUUGAAAAAAAACUGCAAACUGCAAAAUGGCAAACGAGCCACAAGAAAAUUUCACAUAAAGUGAGAUUUGAAAAGCAAAUUGAAUGAACAAACAACAAACGAGUGGGAGAAUUGCGAAAUAACAAGAGAAUUUGUAGCCCAAAUUGCAUAGCAAAUGCAAAAAUGUGUUGGAGUUGGUGGCCAUGAAACAUGACUGUUUAGUAGCAGGAUUUGGGAUUUGUCAAAGGACCGCCACAAUGCCGACAAAGCGCGCCGCAGUUGGCAGGGAGAGAAUAGAAGAUCUACUUCCAUAUGGUUUCCGGCAAAUAACAAGAAAUAACUACAACAAUUAUCAGGCAGGAAUAAUAAACGUAGUAUACAGCAUCUUUUAGUCAAUCCAGUUUAAUGGUUCUGUAAUACACUUUGAAAUGAAUAUUUCUUCAAUAAUAUAAAUUAAUU